This 466-nucleotide ribosomal RNA is filed under the name uncultured bacterium. RNAcentral's name for it is "partial 16S ribosomal RNA". It matches the Rfam family "Bacterial small subunit ribosomal RNA", at positions 28 to 507 of the family's 1533-position model. The record is from RNAcentral.
GAUGAACGCUGGCGGCGUGCUUAACACAUGCAAGUCGAACGAUGAAGCCCAGCUUGCUGGGUGGAUUAGUGGCGAACGGGUGAGUAACACGUGAGUAACCUGCCCUUAACUCUGGGAUAAGCCUGGUAAACUGGGUCUGAUACCGGCUAGGAGCGUCCACCGCAUGGUGGGUGUUGGAAAGAUUUAUCGGUUUUGGAUGGACUCGCGGCCUAUCAGCUUGUUGGUGAGGUAAUGGCUCACCAAGGCGACGACGGGUAGCCGGCCUGAGAGGGUGACCGGCCACACUGGGACUGAGACACGGCCCAGACUCCUACGGGAGGCAGCAGUGGGGAAUAUUGCACAAUGGGCGAAAGCCUGAUGCAGCGACGCCGCGUGAGGGAUGACGGCCUUCGGGUUGUAAACCUCUUUCAGUAGGGAAGAAGCGAAAGUGACGGUACCUGCAGAAGAAGCACCGGCUAACUACGUG